GACGAACGCUGGCGGCGUGCUUAACACAUGCAAGUCGAACGGAACGGCCCUGCUUUUGUGGGGUGCUCGAGUGGCGAACGGGUGAGUAACCCGUGAGUAACCUGCCCUUGACUUUGGGGUAACUUAAGGAAACUGGGGCUAAUCCCGGAUAGGAGCUACUGCUGCAUGGUGGGGGUGGGAAAGUUUCGGCGGUUGGGGAUGGACUAGCGGCUUAUCAGCUUGUUGGUGGGGUAGUGGCUUACCAAGGCUUUGAAGGGUAGCCGGCCUGAGAGGGGGACCGGCCACACUAGGACUGGGAUACGACCCAGACUCCUACGGGAGGCAGCAGUGGGGAAUAUUGCACAAUGGGCGGAAGCCUGAUGCAGCAACGCCGCGUGCGGGAUGACGGCCUUCGGGUUGUAAACCGCUUUCGCCUGUGACGAAGCGUGAGUGACGGUAAUGGGUAAAGAAGCACCGGCUAACUACGUG
RNAcentral lists this ribosomal RNA (468 nucleotides) under uncultured bacterium. RNAcentral describes it as "partial 16S ribosomal RNA". It matches the Rfam family "Bacterial small subunit ribosomal RNA", at positions 28 to 507 of the family's 1533-position model. The record is from RNAcentral.